This 253-nucleotide ribosomal RNA is filed under the name uncultured bacterium. RNAcentral describes it as "partial 16S ribosomal RNA". It matches the Rfam family "Bacterial small subunit ribosomal RNA", at positions 524 to 776 of the family's 1533-position model. The record is from RNAcentral.
UACGGAGGGUGCAAGCGUUAUCCGGAUUCACUGGGUUUAAAGGGUGCGUAGGCGGAUGUGUAAGUCAGUGGUGAAAUCUCCGGGCUUAACCCGGAAACUGCCAUUGAUACUAUCUGUCUUGAAUACCGUGGAGGUGAGCGGAAUAUGUCAUGUAGCGGUGAAAUGCUUAGAUAUGACAUAGAACACCAAUUGCGAAGGCAGCUGGCUACACAUAUAUUGACACUGAGGCACGAAAGCGUGGGGAUCAAACAGG